This 253-nucleotide ribosomal RNA is filed under the name uncultured bacterium. RNAcentral's name for it is "partial 16S ribosomal RNA". It matches the Rfam family "Bacterial small subunit ribosomal RNA", at positions 524 to 776 of the family's 1533-position model. The record is from RNAcentral.
UACAGAGGGGGCAAGCGUUGUUCGGAAUUACUGGGCGUAAAGGGCGCGUAGGCGGCCUUCUAAGUCGAACGUGAAAUCCCCGGGCUCAACCCGGGAACUGCGUCCGAUACUGGAAGGCUUGAAUCCGGGAGAGGGAUGCGGAAUUCCAGGUGUAGCGGUGAAAUGCGUAGAUAUCGGGAGGAACACCAGUGGCGAAGGCGGCAACCUGGACAGAUAUUGACGCUGAGGUGCGAAAGCGUGGGGAGCAAACAGG